Molecule: ribosomal RNA, 253 nt
Filed under: uncultured bacterium
Lineage: Bacteria
Description: partial 16S ribosomal RNA
Rfam family: Bacterial small subunit ribosomal RNA
Source: RNAcentral
UACGUAGGGUGCGAGCGUUGUCCGGAUUUAUUGGGCGUAAAGGGCUCGUAGGCGGCGUGUCGCGUCGGGAGUGAAAGCCCGUUGCUUAACGGCGGGUUGGCUUUCGGUACGGGCAUGCUGGAGCGCGGCAGGGGAGACUGGAAUUCCUGGUGUAGCGGUGGAAUGCGCAGAUAUCAGGAGGAACACCGGUGGCGAAGGCGGGUCUCUGGGCCUGUUCUGACGCUGAGGAGCGAAAGCGUGGGGAGCGAACAGG